AGGAGCUUAGGUUCAACCUAAACCGAAGGCCUUCAAAGCCUUAAACAAGAGUCAAAUCCUCUUAGCUUCUG
Molecule: transfer RNA, 71 nt
Filed under: Orthonyx spaldingii (northern chowchilla)
Lineage: Eukaryota; Metazoa; Chordata; Aves; Passeriformes; Orthonychidae
Description: tRNA-Trp
Rfam family: tRNA
About the family: Transfer RNA (tRNA) molecules are approximately 80 nucleotides in length.
Source: RNAcentral